UCGGCUGUUAACCGAAAGGUUGGUGGUUCGAGCCCACCUGGUCGCG
Molecule: transfer RNA, 46 nt
Filed under: Euroglyphus maynei
Lineage: Eukaryota; Metazoa; Arthropoda; Arachnida; Sarcoptiformes; Pyroglyphidae
Rfam family: tRNA
About the family: Transfer RNA (tRNA) molecules are approximately 80 nucleotides in length.
Source: Rfam by way of RNAcentral